This is a long non-coding RNA of Myzus persicae (green peach aphid), 507 nucleotides long. RefSeq lists it as uncharacterized. Lineage: Eukaryota; Metazoa; Arthropoda; Insecta; Hemiptera; Aphididae. The record is from RefSeq and is a predicted model, not a curated record. The transcript has 3 exons.
UUAUGAGUUUCAAGUUACAUUACAUGUGCCAUAUGGCUUAUACUAAAGUUUAUUUGUCAUAUAUUUUGAAUAAAAUAGAAGAAAGAUGUUUUCAAUUUUUAAUAAAUUAAAAUUUAAUAACUGUAAUUUCAGUACAACUUCUAUUAAGUAUACAACAGCAAAGUGAGUAAGAUGUGAAUGACAGCAGUUUCAUUUCCAGUCGAUUUAGGAGAUUUGAAUACCGGACAUAAGCAGCCUGUGCAACAAGUUAGUGAAGACAGUAGACACUUUCAAAGAGAAAGGCUUUCAAAAAUCGAAAAAAGUGGCACUCACACUGCCAAUUAGUUCUGCCACAUAUUGUGAACUAUCGUUGUCGGUGGGUCGUCAGUCGAUUUUUGGGAUAGUGAAUAUUUUUUUGAAUUAUAUAGAGUCCAAGAAAUUUAUGUUAGGUACCUUUUUAUUAAAAGUACAUUUUAAUUACAUUAAUUAUAUUUUUGUUCAUAUUAAUUAUAAACCUGUUAAAUACAA